UCUCCGUUGGUGAACCAGCGGAGGGAUCAUUACAGAGUUGCAAAACUCCCAAACCAUUGUGAACGUUACCUAUCCCGUUGCUUCGGCGGGCAGCCCGGGCCCCGCGCCCGGCGCCCCCCGGCCCCCCGUGGGCGCCCGCCGGAGGUAAACCAAACCCUUGAAUUGCAUGGCCUCUCUGAGUCUUCUGUACUGAAUAAGUCAAAACUUUCAACAACGGAUCUCUUGGUUCUG
This 231-nucleotide unclassified non-coding RNA is filed under the name plant metagenome. RNAcentral's name for it is "partial contains small subunit ribosomal RNA, internal transcribed spacer 1, and 5.8S ribosomal RNA". The record is from RNAcentral.